Molecule: ribosomal RNA, 650 nt
Filed under: Escherichia coli
Lineage: Bacteria; Pseudomonadati; Pseudomonadota; Gammaproteobacteria; Enterobacterales; Enterobacteriaceae
Also listed under: 1 other name
Description: partial 23S ribosomal RNA
Rfam family: Bacterial large subunit ribosomal RNA
Source: RNAcentral
GGGACACGUGGUAUCCUGUCUGAAUAUGGGGGGACCAUCCUCCAAGGCUAAAUACUCCUGACUGACCGAUAGUGAACCAGUACCGUGAGGGAAAGGCGAAAAGAACCCCGGCGAGGGGAGUGAAAAAGAACCUGAAACCGUGUACGUACAAGCAGUGGGAGCCUCUUAAUGGGGUGACUGCGUACCUUUUGUAUAAUGGGUCAGCGACUUAUAUUCUGUAGCAAGGUUAACCGAAUAGGGGAGCCGAAGGGAAACCGAGUCUUAACUGGGCGUUAAGUUGCAGGGUAUAGACCCGAAACCCGGUGAUCUAGCCAUGGGCAGGUUGAAGGUUGGGUAACACUAACUGGAGGACCGAACCGACUAAUGUUGAAAAAUUAGCGGAUGACUUGUGGCUGGGGGUGAAAGGCCAAUCAAACCGGGAGAUAGCUGGUUCUCCCCGAAAGCUAUUUAGGUAGCGCCUCGUGAAUUCAUCUCCGGGGGUAGAGCACUGUUUCGGCAAGGGGGUCAUCCCGACUUACCAACCCGAUGCAAACUGCGAAUACCGGAGAAUGUUAUCACGGGAGACACACGGCGGGUGCUAACGUCCGUCGUGAAGAGGGAAACAACCCAGACCGCCAGCUAAGGUCCCAAAGUCAUGGUUAAGUGGGAAA